This 21-nucleotide small nuclear RNA is filed under the name Arabidopsis thaliana (thale cress). RNAcentral describes it as "snRNA_09423". The record is from RNAcentral. Lineage: Eukaryota; Viridiplantae; Streptophyta; Magnoliopsida; Brassicales; Brassicaceae.
ACCCGCUGAGUUUAAGCAUAU